GAUGAACGCUGGCGGCGUGCCUAAUACAUGCAAGUCGAGCGAACAGACGAGGAGCUUGCUCCUCUGACGUUAGCGGCGGACGGGUGAGUAACACGUGGAUAACCUACCUAUAAGACUGGGAUAACUUCGGGAAACCGGAGCUAAUACCGGAUAAUAUAUUGAACCGCAUGGUUCAAUAGUGAAAGACGGUUUUGCUGUCACUUAUAGAUGGAUCCGCGCCGCAUUAGCUAGUUGGUAAGGUAACGGCUUACCAAGGCAACGAUGCGUAGCCGACCUGAGAGGGUGAUCGCCCACACUGGAACUGAGACACGGUCCAGACUCCUACGGGAGGCAGCAGUAGGGAAUCUUCCGCAAUGGGCGAAAGCCUGACGGAGCAACGCCGCGUGAGUGAUGAAGGUCUUCGGAUCGUAAAACUCUGUUAUUAGGGAAGAACAAAUGUGUAAGUAACUAUGCACGUCUUGACGGUACCUAAGCAGAAAGCCACGGCUAACUACGU
This 496-nucleotide ribosomal RNA is filed under the name uncultured bacterium. Its description in RNAcentral is "partial 16S ribosomal RNA". It matches the Rfam family "Bacterial small subunit ribosomal RNA", at positions 28 to 506 of the family's 1533-position model. The record is from RNAcentral.